UGGGGAAUUUUGGACAAUGGGCGAAAGCCUGAUCCAGCAAUGCCGCGUGUGUGAAGAAGGCCUUCGGGUUGUAAAGCACUUUUGUCCGGAAAGAAAUCCUUGGCUCUAAUACAGUCGGGGGAUACGGUACCGGAAGAAUAAGCACCGGCUAACUACGUGCCAGCAGCCGCGGUAAUACGUAGGGUGCAAGCGUUAAUCGGAAUUACUGGGCGUAAAGCGUGCGCAGGCGGUUUGCUAAGACCGAUGUGAAAUCCCCCGGGCUCAACCUGGGACUGCAUUGGUGACUGGCAGGCUAGAGNAUGGCAGAGGGGGUAGAAUUCCACGUGUACAGUGAAAUGCGUAGAGAUGUGGAGGAAUACCGAUGGCGAAGGCAGCCCCCUGGCCAAUACUGACGCUCAUGCACGAAAGGUGGGGAGCAAACAGGAUUAGAUACCCUGGUAGUCCAC
This 446-nucleotide ribosomal RNA is filed under the name uncultured bacterium. Its description in RNAcentral is "partial 16S ribosomal RNA". It matches the Rfam family "Bacterial small subunit ribosomal RNA", at positions 355 to 798 of the family's 1533-position model. The record is from RNAcentral.